RNAcentral lists this ribosomal RNA (444 nucleotides) under uncultured bacterium. RNAcentral describes it as "bacterial SSU rRNA". It matches the Rfam family "Bacterial small subunit ribosomal RNA", at positions 29 to 508 of the family's 1533-position model. The record is from RNAcentral.
AACGAACGCUGGCGGCAUGCCUAACACAUGCAAGUCGAACGGGAUCCUGGCUUCGGUCAGGUGAGAGUGGCGGACGGGUGAGUAACGCGUGGGAACCUGCCCAGUGGUGGGGGAUAACUGCGGGAAACUGCAGCUAAUACCGCAUGAGCCCGAGAGGGGAAAGAUUUAUCGCCAUUGGAGGGGCCCGCGUUCGAUUAGGUAGUUGGUGAGGUAAUGGCUCACCAAGCCGACGAUCGAUAGCUGGUCUGAGAGGAUGAUCAGCCACACUGGGACUGAGAUACGGCCCAGACUCCUACGGGAGGCAGCAGUGGGGAAUAUUGGACAAUGGGGGCAACCCUGAUCCAGCAAUGCCGCGUGAGUGAUGAAGGCCUUCGGGUUGUAAAGCUCUUUUGCCAGGGACGAUGAUGACGGUACCUGGAGAAUAAGCCCCGGCUAACUUCGUGC